Molecule: ribosomal RNA, 237 nt
Filed under: uncultured bacterium
Lineage: Bacteria
Description: partial 16S ribosomal RNA
Rfam family: Bacterial small subunit ribosomal RNA
Source: RNAcentral
AUACGUAGGGGGCUAGCGUUAUCCGGAUUUACUGGGCGUAAAGGGUGAGUAGGCGGUUGCAUAUGUCAGAUGUAAAAGGCACAGGCUUAACUUGUGUUAGCAUUUGAAACUGUGCGACUUGAGUGCAGGAGAGGUAAGUGGAAUUCCUAGUGUAGCGGUGAAAUGCGUAGAUAUUAGGAGGAACACCAGUGGCGAAGGCGACUUACUGGACUGUAACUGACGCUGAGUCACGAAAGC